This 206-nucleotide unclassified non-coding RNA is filed under the name plant metagenome. Its description in RNAcentral is "partial contains small subunit ribosomal RNA and internal transcribed spacer 1". The stretch from base 1 to 46 matches the Rfam family "Eukaryotic small subunit ribosomal RNA", at positions 1786 to 1831 of the family's 1831-position model. The record is from RNAcentral.
AAGUCGUAACAAGGUUUCCGUAGGUGAACCUGCGGAAGGAUCAUUAGUGAAUUUUAGGGCGUCUACUUGUAGAGCCUGACCCUCCACUUCUAACACUGUGCAUUAUUCGGUCAUUUGGCGACGUACCUUCGGGUAUCGAGCUGUUUGGCUAAUUUUACCAUUAAACAUUAGUACCAGUAUGUAACGAAAUAUCGAAACAAAAAAAU